Molecule: transfer RNA, 90 nt
Filed under: Blattabacterium sp. (Cryptocercus punctulatus) str. Cpu
Lineage: Bacteria; Pseudomonadati; Bacteroidota; Flavobacteriia; Flavobacteriales; Blattabacteriaceae
Description: tRNA-Arg
Rfam family: tRNA (bases 1-74)
About the family: Transfer RNA (tRNA) molecules are approximately 80 nucleotides in length. Their secondary structure includes four short double-helical elements and three loops (D, anti-codon, and T loops). Further hydrogen bonds mediate the characteristic L-shaped molecular structure. tRNAs have two regions of fundamental functional importance: the anti-codon, which is responsible for specific mRNA codon recognition, and the 3' end, to which the tRNAs corresponding amino acid is attached (by aminoacyl-tRNA synthetases). tRNAs cope with the degeneracy of the genetic code in two manners: having more than one tRNA (with a specific anti-codon) for a particular amino acid; and 'wobble' base-pairing, i.e. permitting non-standard base-pairing at the 3rd anti-codon position.
Source: RNAcentral
GGCCUCGUAGCUUAAUUGGAUAGAGCAUCUGACUACGGAUCAGAAGGUUAUGGGUUCGAGUCCCCUCGAGGUCUCAUUUUAUUUUAUCCU